RNAcentral lists this transfer RNA (73 nucleotides) under Ageneiosus inermis (manduba). RNAcentral describes it as "tRNA-Leu". The record is from RNAcentral. Lineage: Eukaryota; Metazoa; Chordata; Actinopteri; Siluriformes; Auchenipteridae.
GCUUCUAAAGGAUAACAGCUCAUCCAUUGGUCUUAGGAACCAAAAACUCUUGGUGCAAAUCUUAGGAACCAAA